Long non-coding RNA from Ictalurus furcatus (blue catfish), 2859 nucleotides. RefSeq lists it as uncharacterized. Lineage: Eukaryota; Metazoa; Chordata; Actinopteri; Siluriformes; Ictaluridae. The record is from RefSeq and is a predicted model, not a curated record. The transcript has 3 exons.
AUUUUCUUAAAGAUCGGGGUCUGGACUCUGAUUUCAUUAUAAGAGGAGUAAAGAAUCAGGACACUGGAAGAAAAAUACAGAGAUUCAUGACUCCAGAAUUUCCACUAACCUGUUAACCGAGCAGCUCAGGUGCACUGCUUGAGAUUUCACAUGAAUAGUUUGAUGAACAGUAAUGCUGCAGCAAUGUGCAGCUGAGGACCUGCGGGUUAUAAACUGCUGCACUGUGGACCAGAUGGUCUAGGUUCGAUGAGGAGGUGGGGAUGUGUGUCAGCGUUCACAGGAGUCAAGAGAAAGGUUAAAAGUCUGCAUUAGCUGAUGUCACCAAACUGUGGACUCUGAGGAGGUCCACAAGGGCGGAGUGUGUCAUUUGGGACAGAGCGGAAGUUGAACACAGCUGAAAGCUUCACAUCAUAAUCGAUGACAUCAGAUGCAGUUCCAAGGAUGAGGAACAAAUGUCUGAAGCAAGAAAAGGCAAAGGAAAAUAAUAUUAUGGCGGACAAGUUAGCAUUCAUUACUUUUAUUGUGGAAGUAGUGAACUGCUCGGCCUAAAGUGAGUAGAACAGAAAAAAUAAAAAUAAAAAAUCAUACAAGCAGCAGAUACGUAUUUGAAGGCAGAUGGAAUAACAGUUGAUCAGAUAAAUUAAAAACUAAAAAUGCAAGUUACUAAUACCCAGACUGUACGUGGAGGCUCAUAAUGGUGAUGAUAAUCUUGCACUGGAAUACAAGAAGCUUAAUAUCAAAUAGGCAAGAAUUUAAAAUAUAUAGAUAAUUUCAAAACUAAACCUCAUAUAUGUGUACAAGAAUCUUGGUUAAAACCAAAUUUAAAUUUUGUGGUUCAAGGGUAUUCUGCAGAGCACAAAGAUAGGAUUAAAGGCGAUGGAGGGGGAGUAGUAACUUUUAUUAAACAAUGAGUAGCAUACAGGGAGGUGGGUGUGAAUGAGGAAUUUGAAUUGGUAGUGGUUGAAGUAAGAGCUGGAAAUCAGAGUAUAAGGGUAAUUAAUUUUUAUAAUCUGUGUAAAAGAUUAAAUAAGGACUUAAUUAAACACAUCGGAGGAGAAGGAAACUUUACAUUAGUGUGAUAUGCGGACUUGAAUGCGCACAGUACUUUGUGGGGAAGUGAAUAUAAUGAUCAAAAUGUGAAUGCUGUAGAAGAAAUGUUAGAUUCUAAUGAUCUGGUGUGUCUCAAUGAUGGAAGUAAGCUCCGCUUCAGCACCGCGAGUGUUUUGGAAAGCACAGAAGCACGUGACUACGAGGUGGGGCAGAAGAAACACACACAGCUGGCAACCAAUGAGGGGCAGUUGUGAGGACGUGCUCACCUUCCCCCUUCCUACACAUACUAAAAUAAAAGCAUUUCCUGUUUUACCUGUAAUCUGUCUGCACUGUAAGACAUUUUAUUGCAUUUUUGUGGUAACUUACUGGCAGCAAAAUGCUAUUGCCAGUAAUUUACUGUAACUACCCCUUUACAGUAGCUUACCUGUAAAUGUGUUUUACAGUAUGAAGCCCUUACCACAAUUUAAUUUUACAGUAUGAGGCCCUUACCGCAAUUUAAUUUUACAGUAUGAGGCCAUUACCACAAUUUAAUUUUACAGUAUGAGACCCUUACCAUGCUCUCACCAAAGCAGUUUUAAAAAUGGACGUAAUACAAUGGAUUCAAUCAUAUGCCUAGAAUCAGAAGUUAGAAAGGCAAUGGUGAAUAAAGAAAUAUUAGUAGGUGUGUUUUUUGAUGCGGAAAAAGCAUAUGAUAUUCUAUGGAAAGAGGGACUCCUAAUCAAAUUAGAUAAGAUGGGAAUUAAAGGUAAACUAUAUAAUGGAUAAUGGAUUUUCUAAUGGACAGGACCAUCCAAGUAAGGGUCGGUACAAGGUAUUCUAAGAUAUAUAAUACUGGCAAUGGUACACCACAAGGAAGUGUUUGUAGCCCAGUUCUUUUGACCUGUGUGAUAAAUGACAUCUUUCAGGAAUUGUACAAGGAAUGGGUAAAUCCCUUUAUGUGGAUGAUGAUGAUGGUGCAAGAAAUGCAGCAUAUGUCGAAAGUAGUAUGCAGAAAGCAGAUAAAGAAGUAGAAAAAUGGGUGAAAAAUUGGAGCUUCAGAUUGUCAGUACAAAAAACAAAAGUGAUGUGUUUUUCAAAGAAAAAGAAAUCACCAAUAAUUAUGUUCAACCAAUAUGGUCAAACAUUGGAGCAAGUUCCAGAAAUUAGGUUUCUAGGAGUAUGGAUGGAUUCAAAACUAACCUUUGUGUCUUAUUUCCUCAGUUUACACAUUUCACACGUUUUCUAUGUUCUGUCGUGAAUAACAUAAGGCUUUAGGAGAUUUGCAAAUUACUGCAUUUUGUUUUUAUUUACAUCGUGUCCCAACCUUUUUGGAAUUAGGGUUGUAGUUGUAUGUUGUUGCAACGUGAUGAGCAUGUUCCAAUGACCAAACUGGUACAUUAUAAAGAAGAAACAUUUCCUCAGUUGAAACAUUUGAUAUAUUUUCUGUGUUCUAUAGUGAAUAACAUAUGGAUUUAUGAAAUUUGCAAAUCAUUGCAUUCUGUUUUUAUUGACAUUUUACUCACUCCUUUUUUGGAAUUGGGAUUGUAUAUUGUCACCACGACGAAUAUGAGAAUCACAAAGUUUCAUUUCGGUAUAGCGCCUCCCCCUCACUCGUGGAGCCACGUUGCUGCUUUGGGCUGCCUGAGUCUGUUGGGUUUCGCUGCAUCAGUUUGUUUUGCUUUUAUUUAUGUUUGUUACUGUCACUAAGAUCAGUUUGAGCUCGGGGUUAUCUCUGUGUUUUUGUGACAGUAAGUUUCUCUUUGUUUUGUUUUAUUCUUUUGUUUGUCUGCUUUGAGCAUAUUGUAAUUGACUUUGUGUUUUUGUUUUCUC